UGCGUAGGGUGCAAGCGUUAUCCGGAAUUAUUGGGCGUAAAGAGCUCGUAGGCGGUUUGUCGCGUCUGCUGUGAAAACCGGAGGCUCAACCUCCGGCCUGCAGUGGGUACGGGCAAACUAGAGUGCGGUAGGGGAGAUUGGAAUUCCUGGUGUAGCGGUGGAAUGCGCAGAUAUCAGGAGGAACACCGAUGGCGAAGGCAGAUCUCUGGGCCGUAACUGACGCUGAGGAGCGAAAGCGUGGGGAGCGAACAGG
This 253-nucleotide ribosomal RNA is filed under the name uncultured bacterium. RNAcentral's name for it is "partial 16S ribosomal RNA". It matches the Rfam family "Bacterial small subunit ribosomal RNA", at positions 524 to 776 of the family's 1533-position model. The record is from RNAcentral.